UUCUUUGAUUGAGAGGAAGAGUAUAUAAAUUCAUUGCUGACUACGAGGGAUCGAACGAGACGCUUCCAAGCCGCCAAGUUGAUUGAGGGAAGUCUACAAGCAGUGGUUUUUCAUAGAAGCUUAUCAGAGAGAUGGAUGCUAGAAAACCUGUUGCGAAACAGCUAGAUAAAGAAGAUGACGACGACGACGACAAAGAUGAAGGAAGCAUCAUAACAGAUGCAGGCUCUCAGUCGAGUCAGUAAUUAACCAAAUUAAUCUGGGUUGUUUGACACGUCUCUUGGGUCAAGAGCUCCUUAUCAGUGAGGGGAAUACAGACGGAUACUGGAACUAAAUUCUAUUGUUAAAGUUGGAGAAGGUAUGCUCACUCUGUUGCUUAGGGAAUCUCUGAUCUCAUUAAACUAUCUGUAUAUGAAUUUCUGGUAAAAGUUGAAUGGUUCACUCAAAAAAUCAUGUUAAAUUGAUUAAGAAUAUAAGCUCAAAAGAGUUUGAUAUGCAGCGAAAGGGGAUUGCUUCGGAAUUAAAUCCCAUAUAUUUUAAUGAAGGGUCAUCUGAAGCUGCAUAUCUUGCUGUUGGCUCUGUCAUCGAGGUAGCAGAGAGGGUUGCCAAAAAGGAAUUGGAUUCUGCUUUUGCUAUCGUUAGACCUCCAGGGCAUCAUGCCGAAGAAGAUGAAGCUAAUGGGGUUCUGUUUAUUUAACAGUGUUGCUAUUGCAACAUGUUUUCUGUUAAAUGAAAGACCAAAUUUGGGUCUAAACCAAAUCUUGUUUGUUAACUGGGAUGUUCAGCAUGGUAAUGGUACUCAAGAAACAUUAUGGAAUGAUCCUUGUGUUCUGUUCUUCUCUGUUCAUAGGCAAAAGGACACCCUUUCUAUGCGUCCACUUUGAAAUGUAAUGCAGAAAACCUCGAGACCGUUGGAAUGUCAAAUCUUCUGGAAUAUAUUUACAUUAACAAAUUUGUCGGACAUGAGAUUGAUCUUUACCUGAUGAAAGUUUUCCUUGAGAAUAUAAAAGCAUUAGUGAAGUUGAUCAUCUCUACCUUUUGGAAUAGUCUUGAAGCUGAUGAUGAAUAGAAAUCUAAGAUUAUUGAGAAGUUAUUGGCAUUUUCAAGAGUUUCAACAAAAGUGGAAGUACUUCUUUUGUAACUUAAUUUUAUUUGCUGAAAAGAGGUAAUAAUGUUUGUGCAAUUUAUUUUUAACACAAUCAAAGGAUUCUCAUGUGUGUCCUUGAGUUUCUUAUGUUCGUUCGUAAUGACACGCCCUUAUCUAUAUUCAGUUGAGAGGUGGCUGGGUUAAAUUCUUUCUUGAUAAUGCUAUAAAGUAAAUGUUACUGUUAAUUGU
This is a non-coding RNA of Carica papaya (papaya), 1333 nucleotides long. Lineage: Eukaryota; Viridiplantae; Streptophyta; Magnoliopsida; Brassicales; Caricaceae. The record is from RefSeq and is a predicted model, not a curated record.